UACGGGGGGGGCAAGCGUUGUUCGGAAUUACUGGGCGUAAAGGGCUCGUAGGCGGCCAACUAAGUCAGACGUGAAAUCCCUCGGCUUAACCGGGGAACUGCGUCUGAUACUGGAUGGCUUGAGUUUGGGAGAGGGAUGCGGAAUUCCAGGUGUAGCGGUGAAAUGCGUAGAUAUCUGGAGGAACACCGGUGGCGAAGGCGGCAUCCUGGACCAACACUGAUGCUGAUGAGCGAAAGCCAGGGGAGCAAACGGG
This 253-nucleotide ribosomal RNA is filed under the name uncultured bacterium. RNAcentral's name for it is "partial 16S ribosomal RNA". It matches the Rfam family "Bacterial small subunit ribosomal RNA", at positions 524 to 776 of the family's 1533-position model. The record is from RNAcentral.